AACGAACGCUGGCGGCAGGCUUAACACAUGCAAGUCGAACGGUUGUAGCAAUACAGCAGUGGCAGACGGGUGAGUAACACGUGGGAGCCUUCCUAGGGGUACGGAACAACUCAGGGAAACUUGAGCUAAUACCGUAUACGUCCGUGAGGAGAAAGAUUUAUCGCCCUUAGACGGGCCUGCGUCGGAUUAGCUAGUUGGUGGGGUAACGGCCUACCAAGGCGACGAUCCGUAGCUGAUCUUAGAGGAUGAUCAGCCACACUGGGACUGAGACACGGCCCAGACUCCUACGGGAGGCAGCAGUGGGGAAUCUUGGACAAUGGGCGCAAGCCUGAUCCAGCCAUGCCGCGUGAGUGAAGAAGGUCUUCGGAUUGUAAAGCUCUUUUGCCAGGGACGAUAAUGACGGUACCUGGAGAAUAAGCCCCGGCAAACUUCGUGCCAGCAGCCGCCGCUG
RNAcentral lists this ribosomal RNA (451 nucleotides) under uncultured bacterium. RNAcentral's name for it is "partial 16S ribosomal RNA". It matches the Rfam family "Bacterial small subunit ribosomal RNA", at positions 29 to 523 of the family's 1533-position model. The record is from RNAcentral.